Molecule: ribosomal RNA, 484 nt
Filed under: uncultured bacterium
Lineage: Bacteria
Description: partial 16S ribosomal RNA
Rfam family: Bacterial small subunit ribosomal RNA
Source: RNAcentral
AUUCAACGCUGGCGGAAUGCUUUACACAUGCAAGUCGAACGGCAGCACGGGGGCAACCCUGGUGGCGAGUGGCGAACGGGUGAGUAAUACAUCGGAACGUGCCCGGUCGUGGGGGAUAACGUAGCGAAAGUUACGCUAAUACCGCAUACGAUCUGAGGAUGAAAGCGGGGGACCUUCGGGCCUCGCGCGAUCGGAGCGGCCGAUGUCAGAUUAGGUAGUUGGUGGGGUAAAGGCCUACCAAGCCGACGAUCUGUAGCUGGUCUGAGAGGACGACCAGCCACACUGGGACUGAGACACGGCCCAGACUCCUACGGGAGGCAGCAGUGGGGAAUUUUGGACAAUGGGCGCAAGCCUGAUCCAGCCAUUCCGCGUGCAGGACGAAGGCCUUCGGGUUGUAAACUGCUUUUGUAUGGAACGAAAAGGCUCUGGCUAAUACCUGGGGCUCAUGACGGUACCGUAAGAAUAAGCACCGGCUAACUACGUG